AACGCAUAUUGCGCCUUCCGGUAUUCCGGGAGGCAUGCCUGUUUGAGCGUCAGUUUGCACUCACAUUCGCUGCAGCAUUGGCUAGCAAGUAUUUAAUAUUUGCAUAGUAUAUUUGCAUAGUGAACUUUGUGGUAAUGAGCUAUGGGCAUUCACACAUCUGCCCCAGCUUAAAAUAUAUUGCAAUCUUGCUGACUUGUGAAACUUAGUGCAAUAGGUUUAUUCAACUCUGCUAAGUCCACAAUUCAAAGUCGGCAUAUUGAUUAAUUCAUGCUAUAUUAAACUACUCUUGAUUCAAUCAACCCUUCUCUUUAGAGACAAGGAGUGUAUGAGAUUAAGGUAUAUAAAUUAUCGUGAACUUUUAUUUGACCUCAAAUCAGGUAGGGAUACCCGCUGAACUUAA
Molecule: ribosomal RNA, 400 nt
Filed under: uncultured fungus
Lineage: Eukaryota; Fungi
Description: eukaryotic LSU rRNA
Rfam family: 5.8S ribosomal RNA (bases 1-52)
Source: RNAcentral